Ribosomal RNA from Dendrobium catenatum, 119 nucleotides. NCBI's taxonomy places the organism in Eukaryota, Viridiplantae, Streptophyta, Magnoliopsida, Asparagales, Orchidaceae. The record is from RefSeq and is a predicted model, not a curated record.
GAGUGCAACCAUACCAGCACUAGUGCACCGGAUCCCAUAAGAACUCUAUAGUUAUGAGUGCUUGGGCGAUAGUAGUACUGGGAUGGGUGACCUCUUGGGAAGUCCUCGUGUUGCACCCU